Molecule: long non-coding RNA, 589 nt
Organism: Pseudoliparis swirei
Lineage: Eukaryota; Metazoa; Chordata; Actinopteri; Perciformes; Liparidae
Exons: 3
Source: RefSeq, a predicted model, not a curated record
UCUACCUCCAUCUGCCUGAUGGAUCAUGGGGGUCUGGAUCGCAGUCCAUGCUGACUACCAAUAGUGAAUUGAGCCGGCAGUGUUUCUUAAGUGGAGAGGACAGAGGCAGGAUGUGGUGCUGACGUGGUGGAAAGUCCAGAGUGAAAGCCAAGUGGGACCUCGGGCAACGCACAACACGCUCCAGUUAACUGGAGUUCACCACAGUUUUGUCUUUUUACAGCAAGGCUGACUCCUAAAACACACGGAGCAGAACGAAGCCCGGCUGCACGGAGAGUAACCGUUUGCUCCGACCCCGGGGACUUCGGAGGAGACACUCUGAUGCUGUGCUCCAGACUGGGGAGUCCAUUUUACUCCGGGCUACAUGGUCCAGGCCACUGACUAGUGCACUGCUUCAGUGCCCACACUGCUCUCAGAGGAAGUGACCUCAAUACAUCCAAUAACUCUGCUCGCACAAGCGCGACAGCUGUGGAAGAUUGGAAACAUACCAGGUUUCUUAUCUCAGAUUCAGCUCAAAUGAGAGAAUAGAUUGUUUUGGUGGUGUAAAUGUCAAGGGAAGAAUGACUCAAAGUGUUCUCAUGCAGUUGAUAUC